Long non-coding RNA from Camelus dromedarius (Arabian camel), 759 nucleotides. RefSeq lists it as uncharacterized. Lineage: Eukaryota; Metazoa; Chordata; Mammalia; Artiodactyla; Camelidae. The transcript is spliced from 3 exons. The record is from RefSeq and is a predicted model, not a curated record.
UCUGGGCAGAACUCAGCAUCCUCCUCUGGGCUCCCAGAAAGCUGUGUCCUUGUCUCAACACUGAGCUCCUCACAGCAGAAGAUGAUGAAACUGAGGGCCAGAGAGGUGAAGACACUCGCCUGAGAUCUUAUGUCCAGGUGGUGUUUGAUCAGGUGCCGUGGACAUCUUGGUCUGGGCCUGGCUAGCUCUGGGACCAAAGAUCAGCCACAUUUGGCCACGGAAGGCAGUGCAGGAAGGUUGCAGUGAAAGAGGAGGAAAACACCGCUGGCUGGGUCCCAUCACCCAGCACGCGCAUGCGCACGCACACCCCCUCCUCCCUCCUGGCCAGAUGGAUGCUGGCUGUACCAGUUGGCAGAGGAUAGGUCCCCGGGGAGGAGGAUGCCACUAAGAAGCCUGGGUGAAGAAGCUGAAGAAGCCGGGAGACACAGCGUAGUGAAUUCUCUGUUUUCAAGGACAAGAACGAUGCCUCCAAACCAGCAGUUCCAGAUGCCCAGGAAACUCUAGGAUGGAGAAAAAGGACACAGGUGAAGUGUCUGCUCUUUAUCCCACUAAUGCCUCUUGAGAAGUGACAUCUUUCUAAAGGCAAAGUUCCUGUGAUGAAGCUUAACAUGGCCACUUUGGGGAAAAAAAUAAAAACCAUCUGCUCCAGGAAUGUAACAACAGAAAAUAAUUAAGGUCUAAUAAGGUCAGUGUUCCACCUUAACACCUUUUCAGUUCCAGUUAAAACCUCUACUAAUUUGCCAAGAAAAACCAGCCUCA